ACAUAGCCAAUCUCCCAUUUUUCACUUCCUUGAGCUUCAACUCGUUCAUUGACUUCUCAUCCUUUCCAAAACCCAACGGGUUAAAUAACGGCCCACCAGGGUAGGCUGGGUUUCCGGAUCCUCCCAAGUACUUCUCAAAGCCCAAGAAGUAUUGCUUGCUCAUGGAUCCGGGGUUGUACCAAUCCUGGAAACGUCGGUGCUCGGCAAAGCCCAUUAGGGCCAUCUCCAAAACGAAUAGGGUGUAAUUGUCAGCCCAGUAGUUAUAGGUUCCGGCCGGGGGAAUCACACCGGUUUGGAACCAAGGGAGAGCUGUUUCAGGUGGAAUAAGUCCGAGCUUCCCAAAAAUCUCAGGUGCAAUGGCACCGGCUGCACCCAACAUGGCAAAACGUCCAUUGAUGAUCUCACCAUAGGCUAACCAUCUUGGUUCGAUAAACCCUCCGGUGCCUUCUGGGUCUGAGAGGCCCAAUGGGUCGAAUCCAAAGUCACCUGGAAGGCUGC
Molecule: long non-coding RNA, 498 nt
Filed under: Fragaria vesca (wild strawberry)
Lineage: Eukaryota; Viridiplantae; Streptophyta; Magnoliopsida; Rosales; Rosaceae
Description: long non-coding RNA (FVES_LNC003226)
Source: RNAcentral